AUUGAACGCUGGCGGCAUGCCUUACACAUGCAAGUCGAACGGUAACGGGUCCUUCGGGAUGCCGACGAGUGGCGAACGGGUGAGUAAUAUAUCGGAACGUGCCCAGUAGUGGGGGAUAACUGCUCGAAAGAGCAGCUAAUACCGCAUACGACCUGAGGGUGAAAGGGGGGGAUCGCAAGACCUCUCGCUAUUGGAGCGGCCGAUAUCAGAUUAGCUAGUUGGUGGGGUAAAGACCUACCAAGGCAACGAUCUGUAGUUGGUCUGAGAGGACGACCAGCCACACUGGACUGAGACACGGCCCAGACUCCUACGGGAGGCAGCAGUGGGGAAUUUUGGACAAUGGGCGCAAGCCUGAUCCAGCAAUGCCGCGUGCAGGAAGAAGGCCUUCGGGUUGUAAACUGCUCUUGUCAGGGAAGAAAUCUUCUGGGCUAAUACCCCGGGAGGAUGACGGUACCUGAAGAAUAAGCACCGGCUAACUACGUGCCAGCCGCCGCCGUAA
RNAcentral lists this ribosomal RNA (499 nucleotides) under uncultured bacterium. RNAcentral's name for it is "partial 16S ribosomal RNA". It matches the Rfam family "Bacterial small subunit ribosomal RNA", at positions 30 to 523 of the family's 1533-position model. The record is from RNAcentral.